This 623-nucleotide ribosomal RNA is filed under the name Escherichia coli. Its description in RNAcentral is "partial 23S ribosomal RNA". It matches the Rfam family "Bacterial large subunit ribosomal RNA", at positions 745 to 1365 of the family's 2925-position model. Lineage: Bacteria; Pseudomonadati; Pseudomonadota; Gammaproteobacteria; Enterobacterales; Enterobacteriaceae. The record is from RNAcentral.
UUGAAGGUUGGGUAACACUAACUGGAGGACCGAACCGACUAAUGUUGAAAAAUUAGCGGAUGACUUGUGGCUGGGGGUGAAAGGCCAAUCAAACCGGGAGAUAGCUGGUUCUCCCCGAAAGCUAUUUAGGUAGCGCCUCGUGAAUUCAUCUCCGGGGGUAGAGCACUGUUUCGGCAAGGGGGUCAUCCCGACUUACCAACCCGAUGCAAACUGCGAAUACCGGAGAAUGUUAUCACGGGAGACACACGGCGGGUGCUAACGUCCGUCGUGAAGAGGGAAACAACCCAGACCGCCAGCUAAGGUCCCAAAGUCAUGGUUAAGUGGGAAACGAUGUGGGAAGGCCCAGACAGCCAGGAUGUUGGCUUAGAAGCAGCCAUCAUUUAAAGAAAGCGUAAUAGCUCACUGGUCGAGUCGGCCUGCGCGGAAGAUGUAACGGGGCUAAACCAUGCACCGAAGCUGCGGCAGCGACACUAUGUGUUGUUGGGUAGGGGAGCGUUCUGUAAGCCUGUGAAGGUGUGCUGUGAGGCAUGCUGGAGGUAUCAGAAGUGCGAAUGCUGACAUAAGUAACGAUAAAGCGGGUGAAAAGCCCGCUCGCCGGAAGACCAAGGGUUCCUGUCCAACGU